GGGCCUGUAAAGGUUUCGACGGGGUUGUGGAAGUCGGAGAAGCAAGCCGUUGCGACACGUUAAUCGCACAAUUAAAAUUAAACGCUAACAGAAAUACUGUUGCACUCGCUGCCUAAGAGCAGCUGCUCCCCUUAGGCACUCACACUUAAGCCAGGAGUAUCAUCCAUGUGAGAAACGACAUAUCCUAAGCUUUGCGGAUAUGGGCGUACCAUGAAGCUACCGAAUGUGAUAGGGCGCUUAUCACCGGUCGCAGGAGGGAAUGCCAAUCGGUAAGCUAAGCUUGUAGAAGUACGAUGGAAACGGUUUCGGACACGGGUUCAAUUCCCGUCAGGUCCA
This 336-nucleotide transfer-messenger RNA is filed under the name bovine gut metagenome. It matches the Rfam family "transfer-messenger RNA". From Rfam's summary of the family: Bacterial tmRNA, also known as 10Sa RNA or SsrA, is named for its dual tRNA and mRNA-like properties. The record is from RNAcentral.